GCCCGAGGGAUGGAGGCCGCGCUCGGCUGCGCUCAGGUCCGGGUGGCUCCGGGAGCUGAGACCCCGCAGGAUGCAGCGGGGGGGGGCCAGGGCCUGAUCCCCUACCCCUGCGAGCCAGGGCCGCCUACGCCCCCACUGCUUCCCACAGGCUACUAGACGCAACAAUAGAAUUACCAUAUUGUUUUUCCUGGUUUGAAAGGACCAGAUGGAAAGAAACUGGGCAAGCCAAUGAAAGUCUCUGGGGAUCAUGGGAAUUGAGUGUCUAUGAAAACCAUAUUCCAGACAAGAAUAUAGUCUAAGGACACAGCAAGAGGCAACAUUUUGGAAGCAGAGGGCAACUCUCACUGGAAACCAAAUCUCCUGGCACCUUGAUCUUGGAUUUUACAGCCUCCAGAACUCUGGGAGGCAUUACAUAGUCAUGUGCGAGGUCAAAACUGAGUCACCACCACAACCAAGUUCCAGCUGGCAAGAAGAGGAAAAAUAACACAGAGGAGUUAUGACCAGUGUUGUAAGGAUCUGGCCUAGAAAUGGCAUGCAUCUCUUCCACUAAUAUCCUAUUGGUAAAAAUGUAGUCACAUGGGCACACCACCUAUCUGCAUGGAAGGCUGGGAAAUGUUGAUCGGUAGGGCAGCCAUAUGUGUAGGAAGGAGAAAACAGAAUUUGGUGGAUACCUAGUAGUCUCUGCCAUACCCUUGACCAGAAAUUUUUCUUCUAAAGAAUUUAAUUCUAAAAGUUAUAGACAUUCCCAAAGAUAUACCUGCAAGCAUCACAGCUUUGUGUAUAAUUGCAAAAGUUGAAAUCAACAUGAAUGCCCAAAAUAGUGAAUUAUUUAAACAGAUUAUUACCCAUAUUAUGAAGAAAUACUCUGCAACUCUUAAAAAUAAAUGUAAUGUGCCAGGCGCAAUGGGAUAUGCCUGCAGGCCCAGCUACACGGGAGGCCAAGGCAGGAGGAUCACUUGAAAUCAAGAGUUCAAGUCUAGCCUAGACAACAUAGUGAGACUUGGUCUCUAAAAAAGAAAAAAAAAAAUAAAACUGAUGUAAUGAAUAUAUAAUUACAACAAAAGAGGUCUAACACUAUAGUAGAAAAGUUUGGGGCACUCAUCCCAUUCAUAAUUAUUUUACAUUUAAAUUACUGUUCCUACUUAAGUGGUGAGCUUGGUAACCAUUUUCAUAUCAGGUGAUACUGCUGCAGUAAUCAUAGCUGUUUGAAUCAGGAAUAAUCCCAAUCACAUUUUCUCUUAAUCGUUUAUUAUACUGGGCAUUGGGGUUGCAAGAUAAUGCACAGUCCGAGCUCAAUACAUGUCUUCAUGUACCUGUAUGUAAAUCCCACUUUUAUUCUAAAAUUCUUUGAAUAUUUUGUUUCUUGGAACCCAAUGAUCCUAAGAAAAUUAUGUACUUUUACCUGAAAAUUAAAACCAAUAUUUAUAAAAAGUGUAUAUGCAGUAUGAUACCACUUUUAAAAAAAGAUAAAUUUAUAGAAAAAAGUUUAUAUGACUGACAACAAUGUCUCUGAGUGGUAGGAUUACAGUUAAUUUUUAUUUUCUUCAUUCUACUUAUCUUUAUUUUCUGAACUUUCUACAAUGAACAUGUUUUAUUUUUACUUUUGUUAAAAUAAAUAAC
Homo sapiens (human) is the source of this 1620-nucleotide long non-coding RNA. Ensembl annotates it as WDFY3 antisense RNA 2. Its record names the gene WDFY3-AS2. The record is from Ensembl. NCBI's taxonomy places the organism in Eukaryota, Metazoa, Chordata, Mammalia, Primates, Hominidae.